This 412-nucleotide long non-coding RNA is filed under the name Mytilus galloprovincialis (Mediterranean mussel). The record is from RNAcentral. Lineage: Eukaryota; Metazoa; Mollusca; Bivalvia; Mytilida; Mytilidae.
CAUGAAUUGUUGAUGAAUGGUGAAGAUCCUAGGUCUCUACGAUUUACGGUUUCUGAGUUUUGGUGGUCCACCGACACCGGUUAAUUUUCAAAGGGGCAUAACCCUACCAAUGAGUCGUUGAAUCUUUUCGAAUCAAAUGUAACGAAGAACCGGGGUCUGGUCCUGAACAAAUUUCACCCUUCGUUUUUUUUCUAUCUAUUACGGUUACGGUGUUGGAACGAUAACAAGGUUUUUUGGUUUCGGAGGGAUUACUCCGAACCGACAAAAUAUUUCGACUAACAGGGUGAGUUCCGGAUAGGUAUUCAUGACACCGAUACAAAGUGAGAACAUGAAAGCGACACGUCUUACGGUUUAGGCUGCUAACUUCGUCAAAGUUUGGCGGAAAAAGAAUAAUAAUAAACAGAAGAAAUAC